This 310-nucleotide long non-coding RNA is filed under the name Phoenix dactylifera (date palm). RNAcentral's name for it is "long non-coding RNA (PDAC_LNC013699)". Lineage: Eukaryota; Viridiplantae; Streptophyta; Magnoliopsida; Arecales; Arecaceae. The record is from RNAcentral.
AUGGGUCUCAUGUCAAUUGUGAAAUAUCUCGUUUGUUGAAACGAUUCCUAAAAAAAGUCAAAAAAAAGGUUUCCAUUGUACUAAACUAAGUACGCGAAGGAAGAAAACGAGCGGAUCCAGUAAUUACUCAUCCUCAAAACAGUCCUUCCUUUCCUGGAGUAUUGUCUCAACAAAUAAAUAAACAGAUAUAGCCCCAACGGUUGCAACUGGAGGGUUUCGGAGGUUGGCAUCAUUGUGAUUCGGCAGUGGCUGGGUUUCGAUCAUGGUCGUUGGGCUUCCUUGAUUGUCAUAUUUCAACUCACCCCUGGAA